AGUGAACGCUGGCGGUAGGCCUAACAUAUGCAAGUCGAACGGCAGCACAGUAAGAGCUUGCUCUUACGGGUGGCGAGUGGCGGACGGGUGAGGAAUACAUCGGAAUCUACUUUUUCGUGGGGGAUAACGUAGGGAAACUUACGCUAAUACCGCAUACGACCUACGGGUGAAAGCAGGGGAUCUUCGGACCUUGCGCGAUUGAAUGAGCCGAUGUCGGAUUAGCUAGUUGGCGGGGUAAAGGCCCACCAAGGCGACGAUCCGUAGCUGGUCUGAGAGGAUGAUCAGCCACACUGGAACUGAGACACGGUCCAGACUCCUACGGGAGGCAGCAGUGGGGAAUAUUGGACAAAGGGCGCAAGCCUGAUCCAGCCAUACCGCGUGGGUGAAGAAGGCCUUCGGGUUGUAAAGCCCUUUUGUUGGGAAAGAAAAGCAUCAGGUUUAUACCCCGCUGUUCUGACGGUACCCAAAGAAUAAGCACCGGCUAACUUCGUG
This 492-nucleotide ribosomal RNA is filed under the name uncultured bacterium. RNAcentral describes it as "partial 16S ribosomal RNA". It matches the Rfam family "Bacterial small subunit ribosomal RNA", at positions 29 to 507 of the family's 1533-position model. The record is from RNAcentral.